AGGGCACCACCAGGAGUGGAGCCUGCGGCUUAAUUUGACUCAACACGGGAAAACUUACCCGGCCCGGACACUGGAAGGAUUGACAGAUUGAGAGCUCUUUCUUGAUUCAGUGGGUGGUGGUGCAUGGCCGUUCUUAGUUGGUGGAGCGAUUUGUCUGGUUAAUUCCGAUAACGAACGAGACUCUAGCCUACUAAAUAGACUGUUCAGCUUUAUAGCCGGAAUCACUGGGCGUGUAGCUCUCCGCAAGGGGGGUUGCAUGUUCAGCUCUGGUGACGUUGGCAGUGCUUCUUAGAGGGACAGGCGGCGGUUCAGCCGCACGAAACAGAGCAAUAACAGGUCUGUGAUGCCCUUAGAUGUCCGGGGCUGCACGCGCGCUACACUGAAGUGAUCAGCGUGCAAUUUACGUUUGGUGAUCUGUCAAGAUUGCCCAACCCGUUGAACCUUCUUCGUGAUUGGGAUAGGGGAUUGUAAUCAUUCCCCUUGAACGAGGAAUUCCCAGUAAGCGCAAGUCAUAAGCUU
Molecule: ribosomal RNA, 519 nt
Filed under: uncultured eukaryote
Lineage: Eukaryota
Description: bacterial SSU rRNA
Rfam family: Eukaryotic small subunit ribosomal RNA
Source: RNAcentral